CCUCAGUAGUGUACGGAUGCCGCCGCUUUCUUAUAUGGGGGGUGAUAGCCCUGUACGCGAAAAUCUCUUAGUCAUGAAAUCGAGUAGGACGGAGCACGAGAAACUUUGUCUGAAUAUGGGGGGACCAUCCUCCAAGGCUAAAUACUACUGACUGACCGAUAGUGAACUAGUACCGUGAGGGAAAGGCGAAAAGAACCCCGGAGAGGGGAGUGAAAUAGAUCCUGAAACCGUAUGCGUACAAGCAGUGGGAGCCCACUUUGUUGGGUGA
This 268-nucleotide ribosomal RNA is filed under the name Klebsiella pneumoniae. RNAcentral describes it as "partial 23S ribosomal RNA". It matches the Rfam family "Bacterial large subunit ribosomal RNA", at positions 318 to 596 of the family's 2925-position model. Lineage: Bacteria; Pseudomonadati; Pseudomonadota; Gammaproteobacteria; Enterobacterales; Enterobacteriaceae. The record is from RNAcentral.